ACUCCUACGGGAGGCAGCAGUGGGGAAUAUUGCACAAUGGGCGCAAGCCUGAUGCAGCAACGCCGUGUGAGUGAAGAAGGUUUUCGGAUCGUAAACUCUGUCCUAAGGGAAGAAACAAAUGACGGUACCUUAGGAGGAAGCCCCGGCUAACUACGUGCCAGCAGCCGCGGUAAUACGUAGGGGCAAGCGUUUAUCCGGAAUCACUGGGCGUAAAGGGUGCGUAGGCGGCUUAGCAAGCCAGGGUGAAAGGCAUUGGCUCAACCAAUGUAAGCCUUUGGAACUGUUAGGCUUGAGUGCAGGAGAGGUAAGUGGAAUUCCUAGUGUAGAGGUGAAAUUCGUAGAUAUUAGGAGGAACACCAGUGGCGAAGGCGACUUACUGGACUGUAACUGACGCUGAUGCACGAAAGCGUGGGUAGCGAACAGGAUUAGAUACCCUGGUAGCACAGAG
RNAcentral lists this ribosomal RNA (448 nucleotides) under uncultured bacterium. RNAcentral's name for it is "bacterial SSU rRNA". It matches the Rfam family "Bacterial small subunit ribosomal RNA", at positions 335 to 799 of the family's 1533-position model. The record is from RNAcentral.